Long non-coding RNA from Helianthus annuus (common sunflower), 594 nucleotides. RefSeq lists it as uncharacterized. The record is from RefSeq and is a predicted model, not a curated record. Lineage: Eukaryota; Viridiplantae; Streptophyta; Magnoliopsida; Asterales; Asteraceae. The transcript is spliced from 3 exons.
GAUGAGCCCCUUUAUGUAUAUAUAUGUAUGUAUGUAUAGGUUAUUGUGAGAGAAAGGAGGACCGGCGUAUCCGGCUGUGGGGAGUCGGUCUUGCCGAGCCGAGCCCAGAGGGCGGUGUGGGGGACCAGCGCCGGUCCUAGCCGGGCCUCAGCCGGCCCUCAUACCUACUAAUCUUAUAAGAGGUGCUUAUUCGAAUACUACCAAGGAAGAGAAGUCAGAAGAGGUGAUUAUUCGUCCUGAUGUCAGCUUAUUAGUUUUGAGUAACUAAGCAAAUUAGAGCCACAAUCAAAUUCCAAUAAUUUACCCUUCAUUAUGCUUCAACAGGUUACAUCAUUUCCUUACAAAUAGAUUUCCGCCGAACACUACCGUUGACAAAAUCUCAGACCAAUGAUUGAAUGGAGAGUAUUCAAAUGGGCUGCACUUUUCAUGGAACAUGAAGAAAAGAAGAUGGAGAUGCUUUUGGAACUUGGUUUAAUAGAGGAGAGUGCACUUUCGUCCUUAAUUUAUAUAAACAUGACAUGUUGAAGACCUGUUUUAAAUUUUAAAUUUGGCACUAUCUUAACCAAUAAUUUGCGGCAUCUACUUUAAUACUAA